This 606-nucleotide ribosomal RNA is filed under the name Triticum aestivum (bread wheat). RNAcentral's name for it is "partial small subunit ribosomal RNA". The record is from RNAcentral. Lineage: Eukaryota; Viridiplantae; Streptophyta; Magnoliopsida; Poales; Poaceae.
AUGGUUGAUCUCUCCAUCAAGGUAGCACCUUCUACCAUACAUCAGCAUAUCAACGACCUCCUCCUGUCCAAGGAAGGCACCAAUGUGACAUUCAAUGUUGGCGGCGAGACGUUCAUCGCCCACCAGUGCGUGCUUGCGGCUCGGUCUAUGCUCUUCAAGGCUCAGCUCUUUGGCCCCAUGAAGGAAGGCACGGUAGCAAGCGUUGUGCGAAUACAAGACAUGGAAGCAAAUGUGUUUAGGGCCUUGCUUAGCUUUGUUUAUACCGACUCACUGCCCGAUAUGGAGAUAGACAUGGGAGAGGAGAAAAAGGGUGGCGAAGAAGCAUUAUGAUUGCAACACUUGCUUGCGACUGCAGAUAGAUAUGAUCUCCAAAGGUUGAAGGUACUAUGUGAAGAAAAUUUAUGUAAGCACAUAGACAUGAAGUCAGUGAAAACUAUUUUUAAUCUAGCUGAGAGGCACAACUGUUGUGGAUUGAAGGAGGUGUGCCUUGAAUUCCUCAAGGCUCCUGCUAAUUUGAAAGAAAUAACAGCAGCUGGCGUCUUUGACGAUAUAAUUAGGACAUGCCCCUUUCUUUUAAAGGACCUAAUCGGCAAGUUUGCUUCCUAG